UAAAGUCAGAGUUAUAGUAAAUUGUGACUGGGACUCGGCAAAAUGCAUUACUCACAGUACUACGGUGGCCCAUUAGUGACACGUUCAUUCUAUAGAAAAUCGUGCUUUCAUUUUGUAAAUUAAUUGAUUCAAUAAUAAAAAGACAGUUUGCCUUACAAAAGUAGUCAACUUCAGCGAAACAACCGUAUUCCACUUAUAACAAAGAACAGUUUUCAAUUUUAGUGACGCGUUCUGUACAAACUUGAUUACUGUUCCGUAGAAAAUGGUUGCAUGUUCCGUAGAAAAUUAAAAACAUUGCGCGCGCAUAUACUUUAUAAUCUGUGAUACAUGAAGUUUCAUAUCAUUUUAUCAAACAUGGCGGCUUGUCGACCCUGCAAUGUUAACUUUUAUGCCAUGCAACUUCUGUCCUUAUUGCGGCUGUAGAGUUACAGCAAAGGAAUUUUACAUGUAUUUCGUAUUUGUAUAAUGUAUUGCCGAAGUUGUGGUACUAAAAUAUUACAAGGAGGAAGUUUUUGUCAUAAUUGUGGCCAUGCGGUUACAAAAAAAGGAGCUACAAAUUUGUUGUCUGCAUUGUACAAAUUUUAACUGGAGUUGAAACAGUGACCCCACUUGGCAUGGAAAAAACCACCACUGUGAAAUUCAAGCAUGGAUGCAAAGCUGGUUGAAGAUGCAAACCAACAGCCUCUACCUGUGCUACAAGCUUAACACUCCCAGUUCAUAUUGAUGAUUCAAAGUAAUUUGAAGAUACAAUGGAUGCUACACUUGCAGAAAGUUCUGGUUUUGGCUUCAUUUAAAGAAUACAGUAUCAAUUAUAUAUUUCAAAGACAUUUCUCUUUUAAAACGUUUUUAAUGUUAAGACAACUUAAAAUUUUUGUUAGAUAACACAAACACUAUUUUGCAUUAGCAGUGCAAAUAAUUCUGAUGCUUCCUGAUAGUUUUCGGAUAUUGUAAUCUUUGCAACUCAACCAAGAAAUGGAAAUAAUCUUGAAAAGUAUUAUCAUACAACAAUUCAUUAUGGCAA
Long non-coding RNA from Xenia sp. Carnegie-2017, 1021 nucleotides. RefSeq lists it as uncharacterized. Lineage: Eukaryota; Metazoa; Cnidaria; Anthozoa; Malacalcyonacea; Xeniidae. The record is from RefSeq and is a predicted model, not a curated record. The transcript has 3 exons.